RNAcentral lists this ribosomal RNA (481 nucleotides) under uncultured bacterium. RNAcentral's name for it is "partial 16S ribosomal RNA". It matches the Rfam family "Bacterial small subunit ribosomal RNA", at positions 30 to 507 of the family's 1533-position model. The record is from RNAcentral.
UUGAACGCUGGCGGCAUGCCUUACGCAUGCAAGUCGAACGGUAACAGGUCUUCGGAUGCUGACGAGUGGCGAACGGGUGAGUAAUACAUCGGAACGUGCCCAGACGUGGGGGAUAACGAGGCGAAAGCUUUGCUAAUACCGCAUACGAUCUAAGGAUGAAAGCAGGGGACCGCAAGGCCUUGCGCGUUUGGAGCGGCCGAUGGCAGAUUAGGUAGUUGGUGGGAUAAAAGCUUACCAAGCCGACGAUCUGUAGCUGGUCUGAGAGGACGACCAGCCACACUGGGACUGAGACACGGCCCAGACUCCUACGGGAGGCAGCAGUGGGGAAUUUUGGACAAUGGGCGAAAGCCUGAUCCAGCAAUGCCGCGUGCAGGAUGAAGGCCUUCGGGUUGUAAACUGCUUUUGUACGGAACGAAAAGGCUCUGGCUAAUACCUGGGGCACAUGACGGUACCGUAAGAAUAAGCACCGGCUAACUACGUG